This 253-nucleotide ribosomal RNA is filed under the name uncultured bacterium. RNAcentral's name for it is "partial 16S ribosomal RNA". It matches the Rfam family "Bacterial small subunit ribosomal RNA", at positions 524 to 776 of the family's 1533-position model. The record is from RNAcentral.
GACAGAGGUCCCGAGCGUUGUUCGGAUUCAUUGGGCGUAAAGGGUGUGUAGGAGGCUAGGUAAGUCAGGUGUGAAAUCUCACAGCUUAACUGUGAAACUGCGCUUGAUACUGCUUGGCUAGAGGAUCGGAGGGGGUAACGGAAUUCAUGGUGUAGCAGUGAAAUGCGUAGAUAUCAUGAGGAACACCGGUGGCGAAGGCGGUUACCUGGAAGAUUCCUGACUCUGAAACACGAAAGCCAGGGGAGCAAACGGG